UCCAUCUCAACCAGGUGCGGUCGCGGCCCCCGGGGGUUCUCUCCCGGGUGGUAGGGGUAACACCUUCACGCGCCGCAUGUCUGAAUCCUUUUUUUACGAGCACCUUUCGUUCUCCUUCGGUGGGGCAACCUGCCGUUGGAACUCAACAAAACCUUUUUUGCAUCUAGCAUUACCUGUUCUGAUAAAAAUAAUCGUUA
Molecule: unclassified non-coding RNA, 197 nt
Filed under: uncultured Camarosporium
Lineage: Eukaryota; Fungi; Ascomycota; Dothideomycetes; Pleosporales
Description: sequence contains ITS1
Source: RNAcentral